UCCUUCGAAUUCAUUUACAUCGGGCUUUACUUAAUAUGUUUGAUAAAAAAAUAAUUUGUCCUCAAUAUACUUUAAUCUUAUUUACUAUUAAUGCCUGUUUUAAUUACCUGCUGUGAUAAAUAUUUACACAAAAAAUUAAAAAGGUACAUUUAAAGUCGAUAAGAAACUUUUUCAGUCGUAUAUAUAACGCGAAGCGCUACGGUAUUUUUAUUUAAUAUCAAACACAUCUUACUUACAAGUACGUUCAUAGAACAAUAUGAAAUUUUUAACUUUUUCCUUAAUUGUGGUCAUAGCGGUUAUGUCUCUCUCGUACUCAGUCAAUGGUCAAUCAGCUAAAUGUACCGAAGAUGAUCUGAAGAUUAAUUGUUUGUGGUGCUUUUACACCUGUUCCGAAGGUAAAACUCUUGUGGCCAACGAAUGCAAUUGCUGUCUUAAUGAGUGUGUCUCGGUUACAGAUUCAGAGUCUAAAUAGAAACCAAUAGGUGGAUCAAGAGGGAUAAAAGGAAUCUUCACAUAACUACACCAAUAUAAAAUGUUCAUUUUAUUAGAAUAAAGUAAUUGUUUACUAGUUGAAUUAA
Long non-coding RNA from Anthonomus grandis grandis, 578 nucleotides. RefSeq lists it as uncharacterized. NCBI's taxonomy places the organism in Eukaryota, Metazoa, Arthropoda, Insecta, Coleoptera, Curculionidae. The record is from RefSeq and is a predicted model, not a curated record. The transcript has 2 exons.